RNAcentral lists this ribosomal RNA (492 nucleotides) under uncultured bacterium. Its description in RNAcentral is "partial 16S ribosomal RNA". It matches the Rfam family "Bacterial small subunit ribosomal RNA", at positions 29 to 507 of the family's 1533-position model. The record is from RNAcentral.
AGUGAACGCUGGCGGUAGGCCUAACACAUGCAAGUCGAACGGCAGCACAGUAAGAGCUUGCUCUUUCGGGUGGCGAGUGGCGGACGGGUGAGGAAUACAUCGGAAUCUACUUUUUCGUGGGGGAUAACGUAGGGAAACUUACGCUAAUACCGCAUACGACCUACGGGUGAAAGCAGGGGAUCUUCGGACCUUGCGCGAUUGAAUGAGCCGAUGUCGGAUUAGCUAGUUGGCGGGGUAAAGGCCCACCAAGGCGACGAUCCGUAGCUGGUCUGAGAGGAUGAUCAGCCACACUGGAACUGAGACACGGUCCAGACUCCUACGGGAGGCAGCAGUGGGGAAUAUUGGACAAUGGGCGCAAGCCUGAUACAGCCAUACCGCGUGGGUGAAGAAGGCCUUCGGGUUGUAAAGCCCUUUUGUUGGGAAAGAAAAGCAGCAGGUUAAUACCCCGCUGUUCUGACGGUACCCAAAGAAUAAGCACCGGCUAACUUCGUG